GGCCUGUUGGUCUAGGGGCAUGACUCUCGCUUAGGGUUCGACAAGCCCCGGGUUCAAAUUCCGGACAUGCCC
This is a non-coding RNA of Dryococelus australis, 72 nucleotides long. NCBI's taxonomy places the organism in Eukaryota, Metazoa, Arthropoda, Insecta, Phasmatodea, Phasmatidae. The record is from the annotation of a GenBank genome assembly.